CAGCCGCCGCGGGAAUACGAAGGGUGCAAGCGUUACUCGGAAUUACUGGGCGUAAAGCGUGCGUAGGUGGUGGUUUAAGUCCGUUGUGAAAGCCCUGGGCUCAACCUGGGAAUUGCAGUGGAUACUGGGUCACUAGAGUGUGGUAGAGGAUAGUGGAAUUUCCGGUGUAGCAGUGAAAUGCGUAGAGAUCGGAAGGAACAUCUGUGGCGAAGGCGACUAUCUGGGCCAACACUGACACUGAGGCACGAAAGCGUGGGGAGCAAACAGGAUUAGAUACCCCAGUAGUCCCUGUCUCUUAUAC
This 301-nucleotide ribosomal RNA is filed under the name uncultured bacterium. RNAcentral's name for it is "partial 16S ribosomal RNA". It matches the Rfam family "Bacterial small subunit ribosomal RNA", at positions 509 to 807 of the family's 1533-position model. The record is from RNAcentral.